RNAcentral lists this ribosomal RNA (158 nucleotides) under Heinzbutinia solheimii. RNAcentral describes it as "5.8S ribosomal RNA". It matches the Rfam family "5.8S ribosomal RNA". Rfam says of the family: 5.8S ribosomal RNA (5.8S rRNA) is a component of the large subunit of the eukaryotic ribosome. It is transcribed by RNA polymerase I as part of the 45S precursor that also contains 18S and 28S rRNA. The record is from RNAcentral. Lineage: Eukaryota; Fungi; Ascomycota; Sordariomycetes; Ophiostomatales; Ophiostomataceae.
AAACUUUCAACAACGGAUCUCUUGGCUCUGGCAUCGAUGAAGAACGCAGCGAAAUGCGAUAAGUAAUGUGAAUUGCAGAACUCAGUGAAUCAUCGAAUCUUUGAACGCACAUUGCGCCCGCCAGCAUUCUGGCGGGCAUGCCUGUCCGAGCGUCAUUU